UUGGAGGGCAAGUCUGGUGCCAGCAGCCGCGGUAAUUCCAGCUCCAAUAGCGUAUAUUAAAGUUGUUGCAGUUAAAAAGCUCGUAGUUGAAUUUUGGAUUCGGCCAAUUGGUCCAUCUUUUAGAUGAGUACUGGUUGUGUUGGGUCUAUCCGCCUGGUGAUACGUAAUGUCCUUUAUUGGAUGUUGCGGGUAGUCAGGACCUUUACCUUGAAAAAAUUAGAGUGUUUAAAGCAGGCUUAUGCCGGAAUACAUUAGCAUGGAAUAAUAGAAUAGGACGAAGUUGUUUUAUUUUGUUGGUUUCUAGGACAACCGUAAUGAUUAAUAGGGAUAGUUGGGGGCAUUAGUAUUCAAUUGUCAGAGGUGAAAUUCUUGGAUUUAUUGAAGACUAACUACUGCGAAAGCAUUUGCCAAGGAUGUUUUCAUUAAUCAAGAACGAAAGUUAGGGGAUCGAAGACGAUCAGAUACCGUCGUAGUCUUAACCAUAAACUAUGCCGACUAGGGAUCGGGCGAUGUUGUUUCCAUGACUCGCUCGGCACCUUAUGGGAAACCAAAGUGUUUGGGUUC
This 564-nucleotide ribosomal RNA is filed under the name uncultured Glomeromycotina. RNAcentral's name for it is "SSU rRNA". It matches the Rfam family "Eukaryotic small subunit ribosomal RNA", at positions 548 to 1114 of the family's 1831-position model. Lineage: Eukaryota; Fungi; Glomeromycota. The record is from RNAcentral.